Molecule: ribosomal RNA, 468 nt
Filed under: uncultured bacterium
Lineage: Bacteria
Description: partial 16S ribosomal RNA
Rfam family: Bacterial small subunit ribosomal RNA
Source: RNAcentral
GAUGAACGCUGGCGGCGUGCCUAACACAUGCAAGUCGAGCGAUCUUCUUCGGAAGAGAGCGGCGGACGGGUGAGUAACGCGUGGGUAACCUGCCCUGUACACACGGAUAACAUACCGAAAGGUAUGCUAAUACGAGAUAAUAUACUUUUAUCGCAUGGUAGAAGCAUCAAAGCUCUGGCGGUACAGGAUGGGCCCGCGUCUGAUUAGCUAGUUGGUAAGGUAACGGCUUACCAAGGCGACGAUCAGUAGCCGACCUGAGAGGGUGAUCGGCCACAUUGGAACUGAGACACGGUCCAAACUCCUACGGGAGGCAGCAGUGGGGAAUAUUGCACAAUGGGCGAAAGCCUGAUGCAGCAACGCCGCGUGAGCGAUGAAGGCCUUCGGGUCGUAAAGCUCUGUCCUCAAGGAAGAUAAUGACGGUACUUGAGGAGGAAGCCCCGGCUAACUACGUGCCAGCAGCCGCGGUAA